Molecule: unclassified non-coding RNA, 968 nt
Filed under: Hevea brasiliensis (rubber tree)
Lineage: Eukaryota; Viridiplantae; Streptophyta; Magnoliopsida; Malpighiales; Euphorbiaceae
Source: RNAcentral
CUGGGGAACUUUUCUCAGGGUAUGUGAUUAUACAUGUGCUAAAUAGUAAAUGCAAUUACAUGUUUUGUUUGCGGUGAUUAAAAAAAAAUCUUACGGUAAUUCCUUGAUUGUUUUGCAUUUUUGGUUUAGACCAUUUGGGUAUAGUUUAUGAUAGGAACUGUUGAAUGACUUGAUUGUUAAUGGCACGCUUGUAUGAUCUUUUGUCAUAAGUGUUACAGUUAUUGGAGGAAAACUAAUUAUAGGGACUUUCUGUAGACAUUUUUAAUUUAUGUUGCAUUCUUGUUGUUAGGAGUAAGGAUUUUAAUGUGUUCUGUGUCAAAAAUUUUAUACCAGCUAACCCAUUUAGGGAGCCAAGAAGAAGGAUGUUUAUGCAUGGGUAAUUGUGUUAUUACUGAUUAGUAUGGUUUAUGAAUUAGAAAUGAUUUUGCUGUACCUAACUCUUUACUAAACUCUCUUUGUGCAACAUAUUUUUAGUUUUUAAUGUUGACCAAUGUCAAAUGUGUUAGUGAUUGAGUUUCUACCAUCAUGUAACCCUUGAGUUGAGAAGAUUAAGCAUCUUUAAGAUGCUUAUAAUUGUAGCUGAGCCCUGAACAUGUAGAAGUAUAUUAGAAUCUAAGUCGUCUGGUCACUUCUUAUGAUUCAUGCAUUUCUUAUCCAUUGCAAAGAUAUUUUAUAAUAAGAACACAUAAAUGUGUCUAAGGUGAAUACACAAUGUUAGUAUGCACUAAUGAUUUUUGAACAAUAUUGCUGGGGAAGGGAAAGGAAUGGAUGGAAGUACUCGUAUCCAUUGGAAAAGCACAUGGUAGCUACAAUGGGCCUAUUUACUUUUAGGAAACAGUUCUUUAUUUUUCAUUUUCCAUUUUGUAAGAAAACUAUGGUUUUCAUCUUUAAUGAAAACUAAGGGCAAACAUGAAAAUGUGGUCACCUAUCAAUAACAGAAAAUAGUUUUCUAAUUCAAAAAAUUAAAA